AGCAGCCGCGGUAAUUCCAGCUCCAAUAGCGUAUAUUAAAGUUGUUGCAGUUAAAAAGCUCGUAGUUGAAUUUCGGAAUCAGUAUGUUGGUCGUGCUUCGGUACGUACUGUCAUUACUGGUUUCUACCUUCUGAAGAACCUUGAUGUCAUUAAUUUGGUGUCUUGGGGAAUCAGGACUGUUACUUUGAAAAAAUUAGAGUGUUUAAAGCAAGCAUACGCUUGAAUACAUUAGCAUGGAAUAAUGAAAUAGGACGUUUGAUUCUAUUUUGUUGGUUUCUAGGAUCGACGUAGUGAUUAAUAGGGAUAGUUGGGGGCAUUAGUAUUCAAUUGUCAGAGGUGAAAUUCUUGGAUUUAUUGAAGACUAACUACUGCGAAAGCAUUUGCCAAGGAUGUUUUCAUUAAUCAAGAACGAAAGUUAGGGGAUCGAAGACGAUCAGAUACCGUCGUAGUCUUAACCAUAAACUAUGCCGACUAGGGAUCGGAUGAUGUUAAUUUUUAAUGACUCAUUCGGCGCCUUAAC
RNAcentral lists this ribosomal RNA (520 nucleotides) under uncultured Glomus. RNAcentral's name for it is "SSU rRNA". It matches the Rfam family "Eukaryotic small subunit ribosomal RNA", at positions 569 to 1092 of the family's 1831-position model. Lineage: Eukaryota; Fungi; Glomeromycota; Glomeromycetes; Glomerales; Glomeraceae. The record is from RNAcentral.